AUGUUGUGCUACCAUCAGCAGUCCUUUCCUCCUCUCCACCAAGAGCGCAUCCCCAUUAAGUGCCCCCAAACGUACCCUAUGAUGCACAGCUGGCAAUCACCACUGUGCACCCCUCAGUACGUGAGUCCCUGCGUUCCCCGGCAGCGGUUUCUGUCCUCCAGCUUCUCCCAGCAGCAGUGUGUGACCCAGUGCAUACCGCGGCAGCAGUAUGCAACCAAGUGCGUGCAACAGCAUGUGACCCAGCACAUCCCACCUGCCAGGUGUGUGACAACCUGUGUGCCUCAGCAGUCGUGUGCCACCCAGGGCACGUCGCAAGAGCCUUGUGUGACCAAGUGCAUGCCCCAGCAGCAGUGUGCAAGCAAGUGCAUCCCACAACAGCAAUGUGCAACCAAGUGCAUCCCGCAGCAGCAGCAUGCAGCCCGGUGCGUGACCACAUGCAUGCCUCAGCAGCCAUUCCUGACCAAGGGAAUCCCCCAGCAGCACAGCGCGACCGUGUGCAUCCCGCAGCACUGUGUGACCACAUACACCCCGCACCAGCAGAGCACGACCAGGUGUGUGACCACGUGCAUACCCCAGCAGCAUGCCACCAGGUGUGUCUCGCAGCGCUAUGUGACCGCUUGUGCCCCGCAGCAGUGUGCCACCAAGUGCAUCCCGCAGCAGCAGUGUGCAACCAGGUGUGUGACCACGUGUGUGCCGCAGCCAUGUCAGACGAAGGGUGCAAGCAUUUGUGUCCCGCAGCAACAGCAGCAAUGUGUCACCAAGUGUGUCCCGCAGCAGCAAUGUGUCACCAAGGGCGUCCCGCAGCAUCAGUGUGCCACCAAGGGCAUCCCCCAACAGCAUCAGUGUGCCACCAAGGGCAUCCCGCAGCAUCAGUGUGCCGCCAAGGGUAUCCCUCAACAACAGCAAUGUGUCACCAAGUGCGUCCCACAACAGCAGCAGUGUGCUACCAAGUGUGUCCCACAGCAGUGUGCCACCAAGGGCUUCCCUCAACAACAGCAAUGUGUCACCAAGGGCGUCCCACAGCAGCAGCAAUGUGUCACCAAGGGCGUCCCGCAGCAGUGUGGCACCAAGUGCAUCCCACAACAGCAGCAGUGUGCCACUAAGGGCAUCUCGCAGCAAUGUGCCACCAAGUCUGUGCCGCAGCAGUGUGCCACCAAGGGCAUCCCUCAACAACAGCAGUGUGCCACCAAGUGUGUCCCACAGCAAUGUGCCACCAAGAGCAGUGCACAGCAGCAGCAGUGUGCCACCAAGUGUGUCCCACAGCAGUGUGCCACCAAGGGCAUCCCACAGCAAAGUGUGACCCAGUGUGUCCCACAGCAGCAGUAUCAGUCAGGUGGAGUAAAAAUUUCAAGUCAUGCUAAGAAGUACUGCUCUGCAUCCAAAUGGCCCUGGUAA
Molecule: long non-coding RNA, 1395 nt
Filed under: Numida meleagris (helmeted guineafowl)
Lineage: Eukaryota; Metazoa; Chordata; Aves; Galliformes; Numididae
Description: lncRNA (ENSNMEG00000003582.1)
Source: RNAcentral